Molecule: transfer RNA, 85 nt
Filed under: Felis catus (domestic cat)
Lineage: Eukaryota; Metazoa; Chordata; Mammalia; Carnivora; Felidae
Rfam family: tRNA
About the family: Transfer RNA (tRNA) molecules are approximately 80 nucleotides in length. Their secondary structure includes four short double-helical elements and three loops (D, anti-codon, and T loops).
Source: Rfam by way of RNAcentral
GCCUGGGUGGCUCAGUCAGUUGAGCGUCUGACUUUGGCUCAGGUCAUGAUCUCGUGGUUUGUGAGUUCCAGCCCCACAUCAGGCU